GAAAUGCGAUAAGUAAUGUGAAUUGCAGAAUUCAGUGAAUCAUCGAAUCUUUGAACGCACAUUGCGCCCGCCAGUAUUCUGGCGGGCAUGCCUGCCCGAGCGUCAUUUCAACCCUCGCGCCCGCUGGGAAACCGGCGAGCGCGGUGUUGGGGACCGCCACUGCAUUUGGGGGGCGGUCCCGCCGGCGCCUUCCCCGCGUAGUAGCAUACACCUCGCGGCCGGGAGCGCUGGCGCGGCACCUACGCCGUAAAACCCCCCGACGAAUCGCCCACCACGGCGAGAUAGUUUGACCUCGGAUCAGGUAGGAAUACCCGCUGAACUUAA
RNAcentral lists this unclassified non-coding RNA (324 nucleotides) under uncultured Trichoderma. RNAcentral describes it as "sequence contains ITS1". The stretch from base 1 to 105 matches the Rfam family "5.8S ribosomal RNA", at positions 50 to 154 of the family's 154-position model. The record is from RNAcentral. Lineage: Eukaryota; Fungi; Ascomycota; Sordariomycetes; Hypocreales; Hypocreaceae.